RNAcentral lists this ribosomal RNA (408 nucleotides) under uncultured bacterium. RNAcentral describes it as "partial 16S ribosomal RNA". It matches the Rfam family "Bacterial small subunit ribosomal RNA", at positions 28 to 526 of the family's 1533-position model. The record is from RNAcentral.
GACGAACGCUGGCGGCGUGCUUAACACAUGCAAGUCGAACGGAGUGGCGAACGGGUGAGUAACACGUGGGUGCUCUGCCUUGCCCUUCGGGAUAAGGUUGGGAAACUGGGUCUAAUCCCGGAUAGUUCAAGAUGAGCUCGCGGCCUAUCAGCUUGUUGGUUGGGUAAUGGCCUACCAAGGCGUCGACGGGUAGCCGGCCUGAGAGGGUGUACGGCCACAUAGGGACUGAGAUACGGACGAGACUCCUACUGGAGGCAGUAGUGGGGAAGAGUGCACAAGGGGCGGAAGCCGGAUGCAGCGACGCCGCGUGGGGGAGGAUGGCCUUCGGGUUGAAAACUCCUUUCGACAGGGACGCGGUACCUGUAUAGGAAGCACCGGCGAACUCCGUGCCAGCAGCCGCGGUAAUAC